GCACUGGCUCCUAGUUGCCGCUGGGUAUAUGAAGGGUGCCUGAUGAGAUUGCCUGCAGGUGUGUGCUGGGAACUCCACCCACACCGGCUGAAGCUGCACAGAGAGCAAAUAAAUACACAGCAGGCAGCAGCAGAGCGACAAACGCCAUCGUAACAGUAGGGGUGUGCAAUAUUUGGUCGACUGGGAGGGAUAUGGACCAGAGGAGCGAUCAUGAGUAUACCGCUCCUGUAUCCUCGACCCAUCCCUUAUCCGUGAAUUCCACUCUCUCCAUCCUGAUAAGCCAGGUAUGCCGCCAGGGGGUCGCCUUGUAAGAGGGGGAAUACUGUCAUGUGCUGCAUUGCUGCCCUCUGCUUGUCAUGCUGAUUGGCCUGGGAGGAGUUCGUCACACACCUGCAAGCAAUUCCACCUUGACUACUUAUACCGUGCCAUCACACACACCUGUUGCCUGCUCCUCCCUGCCUUAGCUUUCCUUGUGUUUUUGUUCCUGCCUGGUCUUCGGCAGUCGACCUACUUCUGCUUCUCUGCGUUCUACUUCUGGCGUUCCGCCAGUUUGUGACUCUUGGACAUAAUAAGCUGAGCUAGUAGUUAGUAGUAGCAGUGACAUAGAGGAAAAGAAGCACACGUGUCCACUCUCAUGUAAAUGCAAAUCAUUCAAUUACUCGUACUUAAAUAAACAGGCAUUGAUGCUUUAACAGUUACAAACCAAUGCACUGCUUUUAGAGGAACACAUUUCUUCAUUUAGUCCAGGGGUGUCCAAAGUGCGGUCUGGGAGCCAUUGGCGGCCAGCAGCUUCUUUUUUAUUGGGCCACGGCACAUGGUGGAAAUAAAAUUAAACCAAUAAAAAGGAGGAAAAGCUUGAAUGUUGACACUGUAACACAAAGCUUUGUCUUUCAUUAUACAUACUGUACGUUAAACAUUUUUACUAAAUAUAUAUAUUUUAAAAAAACAUACCAAUAUCAAAGUGGCCCCCACAUCCUUUGACUUUUCAGUAUGCGGCCCUCGGUGGAAAAAGUUUGGGCACCCCUGUUUUAAAUGAUUAUCAUAAUCGUAUUAUCCAAACUUAAUGUACUGUAUUUUGAAGGGUUUUAUAUCUCAUUUGUGUUCUUAUUAUAUGCAUAAUAAUCUGCUAAGCCGCUCACAUCCAUUUUAUACAGGUAGUCACACAAAACACAUAGUGUUCUCAUGGCCUGCUCUCAUUAUCUCAUCCACACAUACCUCACAACUGAUAAGCAGCUCAAGGAGGGAGUACUCAAACCAUAGCAACAUCCUGCUUACAGCAGCUGGUUGACCUUCACAACGAACAAAGGCCCGCUUCUCACAUCGCGGGUGCCACCCCACUUUGCUGAUUGGUCCUCAGGGACUACAACACCACACCUCCAGAGACAUCUAAUUGGUCCUCGGGGACUACAACACCACACCUUCAGCAGCAUCUGAUUGGCUCUCCAACAUCUACAGUGACGGGCGCUGUCUUCUCCCAUUGGCUGAGGAUCAACCUACAUUUGCAUCUAAAAAUGUAUAAGGACCGGGCAGGGAUAGUUAGCUGUGCUCUUCCUGUCUGACCCUGUAUUAAGACCAACCUCUGUGUAGGCCUAUAGGGAAAGACGCUAGGCCCGGAGCUCCGAUUGUAUUAGGUUUGUUUGUCAAGAAUAAAUAUUCACAUUUGAUUA
This is a long non-coding RNA of Dunckerocampus dactyliophorus (ringed pipefish), 1667 nucleotides long. RefSeq lists it as uncharacterized. The record is from RefSeq and is a predicted model, not a curated record. NCBI's taxonomy places the organism in Eukaryota, Metazoa, Chordata, Actinopteri, Syngnathiformes, Syngnathidae. The transcript has 2 exons.